This 253-nucleotide ribosomal RNA is filed under the name uncultured bacterium. RNAcentral's name for it is "partial 16S ribosomal RNA". It matches the Rfam family "Bacterial small subunit ribosomal RNA", at positions 524 to 776 of the family's 1533-position model. The record is from RNAcentral.
UACGUAGGGUGCAAGCGUUGUCCGGAAUCAUUGGGCGUAAAGCGCGCGUAGGUGGCUUUGUAAGUCCGUUGUGAAAGUCAAAGGCUCAACCUUUGAAUGCCGAUGGAUACUGCGGAGCUAGAGUACGGAAGAGGCGAGUGGAAUUCCUGGUGUAGCGGUGGAAUGCGCAGAUAUCAGGAAGAACACCCGUGGCUAAGGCGGCUCUCUAGUACGGUACUGACGCUGAGACGCGAAAGCGUGGGGAGCGAACAGG